RNAcentral lists this non-coding RNA (28 nucleotides) under Bombyx mori (domestic silkworm). Lineage: Eukaryota; Metazoa; Arthropoda; Insecta; Lepidoptera; Bombycidae. The record is from RNAcentral.
UAAUGAUUAACGAUAAUGAGGCGAAUUU